AGGCAGAGGGGGAGGAAGGAGGCUGGCUGAAGACCAGGAACAGAGAGAAGAGCCCACUUCUCCAUCAAAAGGUCGGUUCAGUUAACGCAUCCCCAGAGCAGGAGUUAAUCGAGGACUGGAUGCAGUGUAAAAGGAUCAAAAGAAUGUGAAUAAUGGUCUCUGUGUUCAUCAGCUCUGGAACAUUUUGCUGUGUUGAGAAGAAGAUGACCGAUAUAUAAACAUAUAUACGUUCUUUGCAUGUAAAUCCAAAAGAAGAGCACCCCAGAAGCCUCUGGAGGAGGGAGGGGGCUGGAGCAGCAAAACUUGGCAGAGCAAAUGUAUCCAAGGAUUUCGUGCCAGAAUUCCUGAGAAGCUUUGGAAGAAGAGGAAGAAAAAUAAAAAUAUGAAAUUAUCCCUAAACACACACUUGAAACUGGAGACGCCUAAAGGAGAGUAGAAACAGAGAUGAGAUUUUUCUGGGGACCAAGGAUCCGUCAGCCAAAUGAGCAAUCGCCACGGAAAAUCCUAGGCGGAGCGGUAGCUCCAGAUGGGUCCCCUGCUCGCGUCCCCGCCGCUGCCGCUGCUACCUGUAGAC
Molecule: long non-coding RNA, 574 nt
Filed under: Mus caroli (Ryukyu mouse)
Lineage: Eukaryota; Metazoa; Chordata; Mammalia; Rodentia; Muridae
Description: lncRNA (MGP_CAROLIEiJ_G0003336.1)
Source: RNAcentral